GCGAACGCUGGCGGCAGGCCUAACACAUGCAAGUCGAACGCAUCCUUCGGGAUGAGUGGCAGACGGGUGAGUAACACGUGGGAACGUACCUUUCGGUUCGGGAUAACUCAGGGAAACUUGUGCUAAUACCGGAUAAGCCCUUACGGGGAAAGAUUUAUCGCCGGAAGAUCGGCCCGCGUCUGAUUAGCUUGUUGGUGAGGUAACGGCUCACCAAGGCGACGAUCAGUAGCUGGUCUGAGAGGAUGAUCAGCCACAUUGGGACUGAGACACGGCCCAAACUCCUACGGGAGGCAGCAGUGGGGAAUAUUGGACAAUGGGCGAAAGCCUGAUCCAGCCAUGCCGCGUGAGUGAUGAAGGCCCUAGGGUUGUAAAGCUCUUUCGGCGGGGACGAUAAUGACGGUACCCGCAGAAGAAGCCCCGGCUAACUUCGUGCCAGCAGCCGCGGUAAU
This 449-nucleotide ribosomal RNA is filed under the name uncultured bacterium. RNAcentral's name for it is "bacterial SSU rRNA". It matches the Rfam family "Bacterial small subunit ribosomal RNA", at positions 29 to 524 of the family's 1533-position model. The record is from RNAcentral.